This 253-nucleotide ribosomal RNA is filed under the name uncultured bacterium. RNAcentral describes it as "partial 16S ribosomal RNA". It matches the Rfam family "Bacterial small subunit ribosomal RNA", at positions 524 to 776 of the family's 1533-position model. The record is from RNAcentral.
GACGACCCGUGCGAACGUUGUUCGGAAUCACUGGGCUUAAAGGGCGCGUAGGCGGAUUGCCAAGUCAGGGGUGGAAUCUCUCAGCUCAACUGGGAAUUUGCUUUUGAUACUGGCAGUCUCGAGUGAGGUAGGGGCAUGUGGAACUCUCGGUGGAGCGGUGAAAUGUGUUGAUAUCGGGAGGAACUCCGGUGGCGAAAGCGACGUGCUGGACCUCAACUGACGCUGAGGCGCGAAAGCUAGGGGAGCAAACGGG